UCCCUGUGAAGUCGGCGAUUUGGCGUGAUUCGGGGGAUUUGGAGAUCGAUUCUUGAUCUCAAAAUUUGUAAAUUUUGGGUUUUCUGGGGGUUUUUUGCAAUUUUCCCAAGGGGUAUAAAUAGUGGAGAGGUUUUCCCCAAAUCCUCACAACACCUUUGCCACUUCUAAAUCGCCCAAACUUUCAGAUUUUUGAAUCGCCGAUUCCUCAGUUUUAAACCUUCGAAUCGUCGAUUCCCCCAAUGUCUACCCCCGAUUCCCCUUUGUCAUUGUUGAAAGAA
RNAcentral lists this long non-coding RNA (278 nucleotides) under Zostera marina. RNAcentral's name for it is "long non-coding RNA (ZMAR_LNC003705)". Lineage: Eukaryota; Viridiplantae; Streptophyta; Magnoliopsida; Alismatales; Zosteraceae. The record is from RNAcentral.